Lagopus muta (rock ptarmigan) is the source of this 289-nucleotide long non-coding RNA. RefSeq lists it as uncharacterized. Lineage: Eukaryota; Metazoa; Chordata; Aves; Galliformes; Phasianidae. The transcript is spliced from 3 exons. The record is from RefSeq and is a predicted model, not a curated record.
CCCACUGGUUGAUCUCUAGUGUUAGCUGUACUUGAAAUUAAGAUAUUUGUUGGAUUUUAUGGUGACAGCAUAGGAGCUGAGCUCUUUAGAAUUGCAGAGCAAGUUACAACAGUCACCAAGAUUGCUAAGUAUUCUGCCAACAGUAGAAUACAAGAAUUGUUCGGGCGCUUAUAAGUCUUGCACCUGUUUAAAGAAGUUACCCUGUCAGCUGUACCAGGGUAGUAAUCACCCUGGGCAAGCACCUGCAGGCUGUGCUGCUCUGGAAGGGAGGAAGAAUUUUUAGCUGCAG